GGACGGGGGCCCCGCACAAGCGGUGGAGCAUGUGGUUUAAUUCGAUGAUACGCGAGGAACCUUUACCUGGGCUCAAAUGUAUGUUGACGUAUUCUGAAAGGGAUACUUCUUCGGACAAUAUACAAGGUGCUGCAUGGUUGUCGUCAGCUCGUGCCGUGAGGUGUCGGGUUAAGUCCCAUAACGAGCGCAACCCCUAUCAUUAGUUGCCAUCAGGUCAAGCUGGGGACUCUAAUGAAACUGCCUACGCAAGUAGUGAGGAAGGUGGGGAUGACGUCAAAUCAGCACGGCCCUUACGUCCAGGGCUACACACGUGCUACAAUGGCCGGUACAAAGGGCAGCUACCUGGUGACAGGAUGCUAAUCUCAAAAGCCGGUCUCAGUUCGGAUCGGAGUCUGCAACUCGACUUCAUGAAGCUGGAAUCGCUAGUAAUCGUGGAUCAGCCAAGCCGCGGUGAAUACGUUCCCGGGCCUU
RNAcentral lists this ribosomal RNA (471 nucleotides) under uncultured Sphingobacteriales bacterium. RNAcentral's name for it is "bacterial SSU rRNA". It matches the Rfam family "Bacterial small subunit ribosomal RNA", at positions 912 to 1382 of the family's 1533-position model. Lineage: Bacteria; Pseudomonadati; Bacteroidota; Sphingobacteriia; Sphingobacteriales. The record is from RNAcentral.